RNAcentral lists this ribosomal RNA (1605 nucleotides) under Triticum aestivum (bread wheat). RNAcentral's name for it is "partial small subunit ribosomal RNA". The record is from RNAcentral. Lineage: Eukaryota; Viridiplantae; Streptophyta; Magnoliopsida; Poales; Poaceae.
GGAUAAACAAUGCAUAAACAACAAUAAUAAAAAAGAGAAGAAAAAAGGGAAGCCACGAAGCAGUCAACAGGAGUCAACCCCCAUUUCCUUUCCGUCCCCCUCUACGCGCCGCGCCGCCAUGGAUCCCGCCGCCGACGACGGCCGCUCACCUUCACCCGUCCCGGACCCAGACGACGGCGAAGGCGGCAGCGGGUGGGGGAGCGACAAGCCGCCGCCCACGCGCGCGGAGGAGGGGCGCGUCGUCGGGAAGGCCGCCAUGGAACCCUCGCCGUCGCCGCCGGACUCCACCGUCUCCGACCAAGACGACGACGACCUGACGCGCGCCGUGUCCCUGCUGUCGCUCGCGGAGGCCGGGAAGGCCGGGUCCGCCCCCCGCGCCGUGGAUCCGUCGCCGCCGUCCUCCGCCGUCUCCUCCCACGGUCACAAAGAUGAUGAUGAUCUCGCCGGCGUGAACAAGCGGACGCACGCGAGGUUCCUCGUCACCCACGCCCAGGCCGGGCUCAUCAUCGGGAUGGGUGGCUCCACUGUCGCCGCUGUCGAGGCCCGCUCCGGCGCCCGGGUCAAGCUCUCCCGCCACGACCAGCUCCUCCCCGGCACCGACCGCAGGGUCGUGCUCGUCCAUGGCCUCCUCAGCCAGGUCAUGGACGCCAUGGAGCUACUGCUCCAAAGGCUCUUGCUCUACCAGGUUCAGGGUGACCAGGCGGUCGACUCUGAGCCCACGCUAGUGCUCGUCGUGCCUCAGCCCUGCUGCGGCGUGCUCAUCGGCAAAGGAGGAUCUGUUAUCAAGUCAUUCACUGAAGCUUCGGAAACUGCAAUUCAGAUCUCACCACACAACAUCUCCUAUGGCUUCAACGACAGGCUGGUCACCAUCACAGGGCCCUUGGAUAAUCUAUUGCGAGCAGUGUUUCUGAUAAUAUUUGAGCUGUUAGAGGACAUUCGUUAUUUGUUUCCAUGUGCAGCUGCUACGCCAAACAUUCCAAUGAGAUCACCUGUUAAUAAGGAUGCCCAAGAAUCUGUCACUAUUGCUGUUGCUGAUGAGCAUAUGGGUUCUGUUAUUGGUCGUGGUGGAAGGAUUGUCAAUGAGAUCAGCAAGGUUAGUGGAGCAUGGAUUGACAUCUCAGGCAAGGGGGAGUUCAUGCCCGGGACUCGCGACAGGGAGGUGAUUAUGAGGGGAACAUCAGAGGCGAUCCGCGCAGCCGAGGCGAUGAUCAUGCACCGUGUCUCCGUGGCCAGCGGCAACUUGAUGGGGCGGAGGGUGGAGGGAACAAGCGUCAAGGGUCUGCUUACCAGGCUGGACGAGGAGGAGGAGGAUGAUGAUGCAGUCGUGCAGAUGCAUCGGCUGAAGUUGAGUGAUCGGACAGAGUAGAUAGUCACGGACGGACAGCACAGGAAGGAAUCGAACCAUUUUUAGAGUUUUGCGUCUCUCUCUGGUAGAGAUAGAUAAUCAAAUCAAUCGCUAGUAAAAAGGAUUAGUCAGGUAAAUGGAUGAUGGGAUCACUGAUGAUGAUUCACCAAUUUUCCUGUUAGCAUUGGGAUUUUGCAUGUUUUGCCUGUUCAAUGAUACUAGAAUAUUAUCUCCCCUGCUGAAUGUUGCCUUGCCCUCCU